CUUUUUUCCUUCUAGCCCAGAAUUUGGCUCCUUAUUUGGUUAUGGUAAUAGGUUGUAUUCAGAUUUUGAAAGAAAAGAAAGUAGAUCCUGUUAGAAUGGUAGUGCAAAAGAGAUUGUGUAGAUUGAGAAGACGUAAGACAUCAUUCUAUUGAUUCCGAAUUUGUCUCCUAAAAAUAAUAGUAGACUUUAAAAUAGACGAAUGAGAGGAUUCGAGAGGUUGUCAAUGCCAAUUUUAGCAACAUGCUCCUAAAUUUAGUUGAUUUAUUAAAUU
Non-coding RNA from Arachis ipaensis, 271 nucleotides. NCBI's taxonomy places the organism in Eukaryota, Viridiplantae, Streptophyta, Magnoliopsida, Fabales, Fabaceae. The record is from RefSeq and is a predicted model, not a curated record.